AUGGUCCCCACCAUACCGUAUGAAUUGCACCCUGGGAUCCUGGAGCACAUCCCGCCAAGUCCGCAGACAAUCGCCCACGCCUCCGUCGUUUGCAAAGCAUGGCGCCGCAUAGUGUAUGCUCCUGGUUUCCUCCACCGGUGCCAUGCACGCCAUGUUGUACCAGUGGUCAUGGGAUUCUUCCACAACUCCAAUACACUUCCCCGCCCGUUCGUACAGAUCAACGACACCACUAGCUUAUCCUUUCGUUUUCCUAAUGAUGGCAAUUACUCAUGGACGUUUAUGGAUUGCCGUCACGGCCGUGUCCUCCUCCGUAACGGCCGUUGGUUCCUCGUGUGGCACCCAAUGACUGGCCACUACCGCCUAAUCAAUGCCGAAUCUAGUCGCUGGGAGGAGUACACCGAGAAGAAUAGCAAUGCUGCGUUGCUCUGUGUGGUUGAUGACAACGAUGGCCACCAAGUUUGCUGCCAACAACCCACAAGUCCAUUUCGUGUGGCCCUUGUCCACAAUGAUUCUCAGGGUCGUGUUCAUGCCGACGUCUACUCCUCACUUACUGGCCAGUGGAGCCUGCCGCCCACGCCGGUGGAUCUCCCGUUGUUGUGUGACAUCCGUGUGGAGCCAUGUGUCAUCAUCUUUAACACUAUGUACCAACCUCUCAAUGACUACCAUGUGUUGGCCUACGACAUGGACAAGAGCACUCUCACUGUGUUCGAGCGGCCGAAUGGAGGAAAUGCCCGUCUAAUGAAGGUUGAUGGUGGUGGACGACUCGGCCUUGCCUCCGUGGAGGACCUCACAUUGCGUAUGUGGGCUCGGGGAGCCUACAAUGGUUGGGUACUACGCACCUCGGUUGAUCUGGGGGAGGCCAUUGCAUGCUUGUCAAAGGUCACAUUACCUAAGGUAGACUCUAGCUUCCUGAUGAUGCCGCGGGUGAAGAUCAUCGGGAGCACCGAGGAGGGAGACGCGCUAUUUUUGUGGACCAUGGUCGGUAUAUUCAUUCUAUGUCCUAAAACCAUGGAGUUCAAGAAGGUGCAUGAGGCCGUUAAGGACAUGGAGAUUGUGUACCCAUAUACUGCCUUCCCCACUGCUGCCAGCUGGUAA
Molecule: ribosomal RNA, 1095 nt
Filed under: Triticum aestivum (bread wheat)
Lineage: Eukaryota; Viridiplantae; Streptophyta; Magnoliopsida; Poales; Poaceae
Description: partial small subunit ribosomal RNA
Source: RNAcentral